GGUGAACCUGCGGAAGGAUCAUUACCAAUACAAGCCGGCCGGUUUGCUG
RNAcentral lists this ribosomal RNA (49 nucleotides) under Orbilia oligospora. RNAcentral's name for it is "partial 5.8S ribosomal RNA". Lineage: Eukaryota; Fungi; Ascomycota; Orbiliomycetes; Orbiliales; Orbiliaceae. The record is from RNAcentral.